Macaca fascicularis (crab-eating macaque) is the source of this 117-nucleotide unclassified non-coding RNA. It matches the Rfam family "Metazoan signal recognition particle RNA". Rfam says of the family: The signal recognition particle (SRP) is a universally conserved ribonucleoprotein. The record is from Ensembl. Lineage: Eukaryota; Metazoa; Chordata; Mammalia; Primates; Cercopithecidae.
GCCAGGCAUGGUGACUCAUGCCUGUAAUCCCAGCACUUUGGGAGGCUGAGGCAGGUGGAUUACUUGAGCCCAGGAGUUCAAGACCAGCCUGGGCAACAUAGUGAGACCCUGUCUCUA